This 611-nucleotide unclassified non-coding RNA is filed under the name Hevea brasiliensis (rubber tree). The record is from RNAcentral. Lineage: Eukaryota; Viridiplantae; Streptophyta; Magnoliopsida; Malpighiales; Euphorbiaceae.
GUAAGUUUUUCUCUUAAAUUUGCCCUUCAUUCUUCGUUCUUUUCUUUCCCCCGCUUUGGGUUUCUUCGAUUAUUGAUGAAUUAGGGUUAGGCAUUAUCUUUUUUAAAAGGAAACUUAAAAACCCAAAUGUUGAUUUUUGAUCAUUAUGGUUGGCGAGAAAAAAAAAAUUGGGAAAAGAAUUUGAAUCACACGAUUAAGAUCUAUGGGCAAGUAUUUUGUUCCAUUUCAAAGUGAAUGGAGCAUUAAAGUUCUGUUGGCGUUCACAUCUAAACCUUGGGGCUCUUUUGGUUUUAUUUGGUAAAGUGGAUGGAACAGUUAGAGAAUAUGAUAUGCCAUCACUGCCACUAUCAAUGUAUUUUAUGACCUUUUCUUGAUAAAUUUACUAUUCGUUCACUUAUUUUAUAUGCUGCUCACAUAUAAAAUUAGAGUAAUAGGAUUAAAUCGUACACUAGUCAUGUGAUUUCUGAGAUUUAUUUGUUUCAGUUUGGAAUUCUGUAACACUGACCUAAACUUUUGUUCCUUAGGUUCCUUUUUUUUUUUCAAAUUUUUUUUAACGUUCUAAGGCUCUUUAAAAUGGGUCCUUUUGUGUUUCCCAUUUUGCAUGAUUUGUC